UUUAAGGGGUUUAUCAUAUCAUUCUGUUAAAUAUUAUUUUUAAAUAGUUUCUUAGAAGUGUUCAUAUGGUGUUGUCAUGGCUUUGCCGAAGUAUAAUACUCAGUUGACAUCGUAGUUUCAAGGGAUGAGAUACAACACUUGGUUGAUAUCUCAUAUGUUAGAUUGUAUUUGUUUUUAAAAUAUUCAACUUUUAUCAUUAGCUAAAGUUACAAACCGAAAAAAUCGAACCAAACCGACAAGAAUCAAACCGAUGGUUAUUUUUUUAUUUGGUUUGGUUUGGUUUUAGAUUUAAAACCGACUAAGUUGGUUUGGUUAUGGUUUUGACCAAUAACCGACCCAAACCGACCCAUGAACAUCCCUACAUAUAGGCUUGCUUUACCUCCGAGAUUAUCGACAGUUCAUCCUAUGUUUCACGUGUCUAUGCUUAGACGGUAUGUCCGUGAUGAUAGCCAUAAGAUCCAGCCAGAAGAUGUAGAGCUUGAUGAGAAUCUGACUUAUGAGGAAAGCCCGAUAGCUGUUCUUGAUAGGCAAGUGCGACAGUUGAGGUCGAAGAAGAUAGCUUCAGUCAAGGUAUUAUGGCGAAAUCAUCCAACCGAGUAGGCUACUUGGGAGUCCGAGGAGGAGAUGGGAGUUAGAUAUCCUCACUUAUUCGACACUUCAGAUAUGAUUCUAUCUUCGUUCGAGGACGAACGUUAUUUUAAGUGGGGGAGAAUGUAAUAACCCAGAUUUUUUUUUUUUUCAUUAAAAGUAGAAAUCUGGCCAUAUCAUUAUAUUAAUUUAAGAGAAGUGGGGAGAGGGCCACACCCACUUCCUUGUGUCUAUUUUAUAAUUAAACAACAACAAACAACAACAACAAACCCAGUGUAUUCCCACUUAGUGGGGUUUGGGGGGUAAGAUGUACGCAGUCCAUACCUCUACCUCUGAUGAAGUAGAAAGGCUGUUUCCGAAAGACCCCCGGCUCAAGUCACGAGAUAUCACACAAACACAUAGUACAGCACAGAAGCAGAUGACAUAACAUAGAUACGGCACCCAUAAGGAAUAUAAAACAGAGUAAAGCAGUAAUGCAGGAAUAUAAAGCAGAGGAAAACACACAGAUUCGUAAUAAACAUGGAACACGAAACACGGAACACUGAAUACGGAAUCAGUGGAACAAUAUUAUUUUCUGAAGAGCAAAGCAUCAGUUGAGGCUUUUGGGUGGCUUAUAGAAUACAGAACAUUCUUGCUGCUGUCAAGUACAGGUAACAACCUUAAUUUGCCUGGUAGUGGUAUUGCUUAUUUAUGUGUAUGUGUCGAAAAUUUUAUAAAGUGAUCAUAACCCCAUUCUUCUAAUAAUUAGCUUAUAACCGAAGGAUGAUAAUGACGAGUGGUUAAUAGGGCUAGAGUUGUGACGGUUGGAAGUUUGUCAUUUGAAGCCAUCUAGACCACCUAUAUAAUAUAGCUCCUUUACAAAUGUUUUUUUUUCUUUUUUGGAAACUGAUAUUGUUAAGAUCCAUCACAAAUGUAUAGAUUACAACUAGUUUUAACAAAAUUCAAAAUUAAUUAGGAGUAAACAAGCCCAACUAAACAUAUACAUAAGACAUCUAGAUUUGAGGAAUUGGUGAGUAAUUAAUAUUCCAUCAAAGCAUCUUUUGAUAUUUUCUAAAGGAAUCAUUUUUCAAGCUUUCCUGAUGCUGCUAUUAACUUCCCAACAAUUCCAACUCUCAAAAGCAUCCUAAAUAUUUUGUGGUAUGACCCAUACUCCAAAGAGAGAAACAUAUUCCAUAGAUCUGAUACAACUGAACACUGUAAGAAUAGAUGGAUUCUGACUCCCACUAGCACAUAUAGCAUCUAUUAACAAUCUGAAAGUUUCUCUUGACAGUUAUCCAGUUUAUAGAGUGUGGGUCCAGCUGAAACUGACGACUUUAGGAGUUUAAGGUGUUUGAGUUUUCGGGAGCAUAUUUUGAUUUACUAGAAGGCGGUGC
RNAcentral lists this long non-coding RNA (1961 nucleotides) under Capsicum annuum. RNAcentral's name for it is "long non-coding RNA (CANN_LNC003854)". The record is from RNAcentral. Lineage: Eukaryota; Viridiplantae; Streptophyta; Magnoliopsida; Solanales; Solanaceae.